This 507-nucleotide ribosomal RNA is filed under the name Clymenella sp. 2 GK-2017. Its description in RNAcentral is "partial 16S ribosomal RNA". It matches the Rfam family "Bacterial large subunit ribosomal RNA", at positions 1817 to 2597 of the family's 2925-position model. Lineage: Eukaryota; Metazoa; Annelida; Polychaeta; Maldanidae. The record is from RNAcentral.
AGCUUCUCGAAAAUUAAUAAGAAGUGAAGCCUGCCCGGUGACUUACGAGUUAAACGGCCGCGGUACCCUGACCGUGCUAAGGUAGCAUAUAAUUUGCCCUUUAAUUGGGGGCUGGAAUGAAAGGAUAAACGAAAGCAUAACUGUCUCUGUAAUAAAAGUAUAAAUUUACCUUUAGGUGAAAAGGCCUAAAUAAUAUAAAAAGACAAAAAGACCCCAUAGAGCUUUAUUAUCAAUACAUAAAAAGGGAAUAUCUUAAAUCCUAUUUUAUUUACACACAUAAUUUAACUGGGGCGGUUAAGGAGCAAAAACCCUCCUUUUUAUACUCAGGUUAACUAACCAUUAAACUGAUCCUUUACUGAUUAAAGAAACAAGCUACCUUGGGGAUAACAGGCUAAUAUCUUUUAAGAGUACAUAUCGAAAAAGAAGAUUGGCACCUCGAUGUUGGCUUAGAGGACCCUAGAGGUAGCAGAAGCUUCUAAGGCGGGUUUGUUCAACCCAUAAACCUCU